Molecule: transfer RNA, 72 nt
Filed under: Camelus bactrianus (Bactrian camel)
Lineage: Eukaryota; Metazoa; Chordata; Mammalia; Artiodactyla; Camelidae
Also listed under: 2 other names
Rfam family: tRNA
About the family: Transfer RNA (tRNA) molecules are approximately 80 nucleotides in length. Their secondary structure includes four short double-helical elements and three loops (D, anti-codon, and T loops). Further hydrogen bonds mediate the characteristic L-shaped molecular structure. tRNAs have two regions of fundamental functional importance: the anti-codon, which is responsible for specific mRNA codon recognition, and the 3' end, to which the tRNAs corresponding amino acid is attached (by aminoacyl-tRNA synthetases). tRNAs cope with the degeneracy of the genetic code in two manners: having more than one tRNA (with a specific anti-codon) for a particular amino acid; and 'wobble' base-pairing, i.e. permitting non-standard base-pairing at the 3rd anti-codon position.
Source: Rfam by way of RNAcentral
GAAGACGUAGCUCAGUGGUAGAGUGCAAGCUUAGCAUGCACGAGGUCCUGGGUUCAAGCCCCAGUACCUCCA